GCCACCUUAGCUCAGUUGGUAGAGCACGUCACUCGUAAUGACGGGGUCGUCGGUUCAAAUCCGACAGGUGGCU
Molecule: transfer RNA, 73 nt
Filed under: Gemmatimonadota bacterium
Lineage: Bacteria; Pseudomonadati; Gemmatimonadota
Also listed under: 2 other names
Description: Gemmatimonadetes bacterium (sponge metagenome) tRNA-Thr
Rfam family: tRNA
About the family: Transfer RNA (tRNA) molecules are approximately 80 nucleotides in length. Their secondary structure includes four short double-helical elements and three loops (D, anti-codon, and T loops).
Source: RNAcentral